GAUUCCGACUACCUGCAGGACUACUAAUUAUCUCAGCAGAUUUACCCUAAUCACGCCCUGCUGCAGUCAAGAUAUGGAUUUGUUGCAGCUGCUUUUGUAAUUCUUUUUAACAUUACCAUGGUUUCACUCUGAACUCUCUAAUGCCUACAAUGAUUUUAGUGAGUGGAUAUUAAAAAUAAGAUCAUUGUUUUGAUAUUAGGAAUGUACCGAUUCCGGGACCGAUCCCACCUCUCAUCAAUAAAUUAGUGACAACCAUGUCAGCGAUAAUCCAGUUCAGCAACCAAUUAUCUGGAGUCUACAGCCGAGUUUGUCAUGAUCGCCUAGAAACGUGAGACAUUUGGCGUAAAGUUUAUCAUCAUACAUUGUAAGCUGGGGUGUUUUGGAAUGAUAUACUCAGUGACAGCUAUACCAUGCAGGUUUGAAUAAGAUACUCACGAAACAGUUACCAAUAUACGUGGUAAAUGCAGAAGAAUUUGUGAUAAUGGAAACGUAUGUUCAAAACUGGAACGUUUCAAAUUCCACCGAAGAGCUUACCUCGACGCGUGAAGUUAUUUGCGAUAUACGACGACUCGCCACAGAUCUACAUCUAAUCAUUUUAAUUGAACUUCGCAAGUUGGUCACUGAUUAUGACAUGUAUUUCAUCAUUCCAUUUUGUUUCAUCGGUAACAGCCUGGCUGUACUCGGCUCUCUACCUAAAGCAAGAAAAAGCUCAGCGUAUCUUUAUCUGGCGGUUCUUGCGUGCAGCGAAGCAUCUUACCUCAGCAGGAAACGUAUUGCCUGGGUACGAUAUUUUGGUAUGCGUCGUACGGAUUUAUAUUGUCAGAUUAACUUCUACACGUUGGUGGUGCAGUAUUAUUUCCAUGCUUAUAUUGUGGUGAUACUGACGAUUGAACGAUCCAUUGCUGUGACCAUGCCGCUCAGGGCAGCUACAUUGUUGACGAUGAAGAGAGGUGUUGUUACUCUAUCCUGUGGAUUAGUCUUUUGCGCCAUUGCGCCAAUUGACAAUCUUUAUCUGAUCCAUAAUCCUGAAGUGGGGUUUUGUGUUUACGAUUUUAGCAAGAAGCCGGGGGUCUUAGAUGCUAUUUACACAAAAGAUAACAUAUUGUUGGUCUAUCUGCCGUUUGCCAUACUCACAAUAUGUAACACCAUAAUCAUCAUCAGCAUAGCGAAAUCGGCCAAGUCUCGGAAACAAAUGGGUGAAACUCGAGGACAACUGGACUCUCAAAUCACAAAGGAUCGUCAAAUUACUAAUAUCUGCCUCGUGGUUUCAUUUAUGUUUUUGCUUCUUAACGCACCGCGGUAUAUUUUCAUUUCAUUUAAAGAGAAGAUAUUGGUGAAAAGGGGUUGGGAAUAUAGAAGAACCUGCGAAGAGGCAAUGUUUUUACAAUUUUUCUGGUAUUUUACCAAUUUCCUGAUUAAUAUAAAUGCUUGCGUGAAUGGUUAUCUCUACUGUCUAAGUAGUGCAUCAUUUCGAGCUGAUGUGAAAAUAUCAAUUUUUCGAAUCGGGAAUGCGCUGAAGAAAUGUUUUAUGAAAAGGUCCGCAUCAAAUUAGGACAGCUACGAUAUUAGGGAUCGCAAUCAGAGCCAACUGUCGAGCCAACUCGAGGAGAUUGCGACACUAGAAAUCGAAAGAUUUCACCUAGUUUGAUCAUAGCAUGCCUGGGCUCUUCUCCUGGCUGUAUAGAUCGGUUUUGUCUCGCGUAAACGGCAAUAUUUACACUGGAAAAUAGAUAACAUGUUCAGUAAUCUCGGACACGCUGAAAGUGGUUAUCCAUCGUAAUUACUGGUGGUCCAGGAAAAUAGAAAUGCAGUUAUACACAAUGCAGUAGUUCAGUUAUUGAGUUAGCUUAAACUUAAUCGUGAUAGUAUUUGUAUAUCAGUGGGAGAGAGGGAAUGCUGAAAUUUAUAAUUUUUAGCACGUAUUUACACAAUUUUCUUUUCUCUUCAACUCAAUUACCAACUUCAGUUUCUUAACGAACGGCAUUCAUAGGCCUUAACAAGGCACAAAACAAACCUCCCAGAUAUUAGUCUCAGUGAAAAACUGUCUAUGGAAUAUGUAGUCAACCGAGCGCACUUCAGACAAGCCGAAGAAAACAAAUCAUAUCUUUAUGUUAUGUCAAACCAUGCUAAACCGUUUAAAUGUGAAUUUAUUUUGACCAAAGGUCGCGAGGCUUGCAGCCGGGUCGAAUAUGGGUGACACCGUUAGGGCUCUUUAAUUCUUAAACGUCCUGUUUAAGAGUAGGAAGUUGUACGACUCCAUAUCUCCUUUCAGUAGGCUAGGGAGUUUUAGCAAAUCUCCCGAAACGUCCACGUGAACGCCUAUCCCAUUGUUCAACUUCGUAAUCAGGAGGUCGAACAUUGAGAUAGAGGUUCACGUUGGCGUGUCAGGUAUUUGCGAAAACUCUCUAUAGGCCGUGACUGAUGCGAAUCCUUAUUAUGACAUCAAAGUAUAACACGGUCGAAUCACAUGGGUGCGUAUGCACGAAUUCUCGUGGUGAUUGUUUUGGCGAGCUGGAUUGAUGUCGCUGAUCGCUGUAACGUCAUGGCAUCGUUACUUCUCGUCAUAACGUCAUCGCGACGCAGGCGCACAUUCGUGUUGGAUUAAUGCAAUUUGCAGCGAUAAGUACGGUGGCUGGGA
Molecule: long non-coding RNA, 2638 nt
Organism: Lineus longissimus
Lineage: Eukaryota; Metazoa; Nemertea; Pilidiophora; Heteronemertea; Lineidae
Exons: 3
Source: RefSeq, a predicted model, not a curated record